GCGGGAAGAGCUCAAAUUUGUAAUCUGGCACUUUCAGUGUCCGAGUUGUAAUCUCGAGAAGUAUUUUCCGCGCCGGACCGCAUACAAGUCUGUUGGAAUACAGCGUCAUAGUGGUGAGAACCCCGUAACUGAUGCGGAUGCCCGGUGCUUUGUGAUAUACUUUCGAAGAGUCGAGUUGUUUGGGAAUGCAGCUCAAAUUGGGUGGUAAAUUCCAUCUAAAGCUAAAUAUUGGAGCAAGACCGAUAGCGAACAAGUACCGUGAGGGAAAGAUGAAAAGCACUUUGGAAAGAGAGUUAACAGUACGUGAAAUUGUUGGAAGGGAAACGCUUGAAGUCAGACUUGCUAUUCGGAGUUCAGCCGCAAGGUGUAUUCUUCGAUUCGCAGGCCAGCAUCAGUUUUCGGGGGUGGAAAAUCGCGGUUUGAAGGUAGCAACCUCGGUUGUGUUAUAGCUUUCCGCUGGAUUCAUCCUUGGGGACUGAGGAACG
This 485-nucleotide ribosomal RNA is filed under the name Leucosporidium sp. EMI_1_Y14. Its description in RNAcentral is "eukaryotic LSU rRNA". It matches the Rfam family "Eukaryotic large subunit ribosomal RNA", at positions 98 to 595 of the family's 3401-position model. Lineage: Eukaryota; Fungi; Basidiomycota; Microbotryomycetes; Leucosporidiales; Leucosporidiaceae. The record is from RNAcentral.